This 104-nucleotide ribosomal RNA is filed under the name Ceratodon purpureus. RNAcentral's name for it is "partial 28S ribosomal RNA". It matches the Rfam family "Eukaryotic large subunit ribosomal RNA", at positions 1 to 103 of the family's 3401-position model. Lineage: Eukaryota; Viridiplantae; Streptophyta; Bryopsida; Pseudoditrichales; Ditrichaceae. The record is from RNAcentral.
CAGACCUCUGAUCAGGGAAGACUACCCGCUGAGUUUAAGCAUAUCACUAAGCGGAGGAGAAGAAACUAACCAGGAUUUCCCUAGUAACGGCGAGCGAACCGGGG